AAAGCAUCCCAACUCCGCCCGGGACGCGGUUCCAGUCCGCACCAACUUGGCGUAAUUGACAUGGGUAGGUGGGGCCGGGACGCGUCCCCUGCCCCUCUGCGGCAACGACAUGGAGCGCUGGGGCGGCCUCCGCGCCCGCGGCGUGCGGACCACGGUUCCUGAAAAAUUACCCGCGCUGUGCGGUACGGUAAGACCCGGCGUCCGCGUCUGGAUCUCCAGGCUGAGCGAGCGCUCAUCGGGCUCAAGAAUCUCGUUCUAUGGCCCAGGCUGGAGUACAGUGACACGAUCACGGCUCACUGCAGUCUCUGCCUCCCGGAUGGAAAUCCUGUAUGAAUGUGGAAGCCAUUAGCAGAGUAAUUGCUGUCUGUUACCAUGACAACCAGCCGCUGCAGUCACCUGCCCGAAGUCCUGCCAGACUGCACCAACUCAGCUGCACCCGUGGUGAAGACGGUGGAGGAUUGUGGCAGCCUAGUGAAUGGGCAGCCGCAGUAUGUCAUGCAAGUUUCAGCCAAGGACGGGCAGCUGCUGUCAACAGUAGUGCGGACUCUUGCCACCCAGAGCCCCUUCAAUGACCGGCCGAUGUGCAGGAUCUGCCAUGAGGGCAGCAGCCAAGAGGACUUGCUCUCUCCAUGUGAAUGUACAGGGACCUUGGGGACAAUUCAUCGGAGCUGCCUGGAGCACUGGCUGUCAUCCUCAAACACCAGCUACUGUGAACUCUGCCACUUCAGGUUUGCAGUCGAGCGCAAACCCAGGCCGUUAGUGGA
This 764-nucleotide small RNA is filed under the name Pan troglodytes (chimpanzee). Its description in RNAcentral is "processed transcript". Lineage: Eukaryota; Metazoa; Chordata; Mammalia; Primates; Hominidae. The record is from RNAcentral.